GACGAACGCUGGCGGCGUGCUUAACACAUGCAAGUCGAACGGUGAACCUCUUCGGAGGGGAACAGUGGCGAACGGGUGAGUAACACGUGGGCAACCUGCCCCCGGCUCUGGGAUAACUCCAAGAAAUUGGGGCUAAUACCGGAUGUUCACCGCUUCCCGCAUGGGUGGUGGUGGAAAGGGUUUCCGGCUGGGGAUGGGCCCGCGGCCUAUCAGCUUGUUGGUGGGGUAGUGGCCUACCAAGGCGACGACGGGUAGCCGGCCUGAGAGGGUGACCGGCCACACUGGGACUGAGACACGGCCCAGACUCCUACGGGAGGCAGCAGUGGGGAAUAUUGCGCAAUGGGCGGAAGCCUGACGCAGCGACGCCGCGUGGGGGAUGACGGCCUUCGGGUUGUAAACCUCUUUCAGCAGGGACGAAGCGCAAGUGACGGUACCUGCAGAAGAAGCACCGGCCAACUACGUG
This 463-nucleotide ribosomal RNA is filed under the name uncultured bacterium. RNAcentral's name for it is "partial 16S ribosomal RNA". It matches the Rfam family "Bacterial small subunit ribosomal RNA", at positions 28 to 507 of the family's 1533-position model. The record is from RNAcentral.